CUGGCCCUCGCCGCCGCGGCCGCGCCCGCGGCUCUCAGCCGUGGGCCGGUGUGAGGCCGCGGCGGGCGUUCUUCGCCCGGGCCAGC
This 86-nucleotide transfer RNA is filed under the name Chloroflexi bacterium ADurb.Bin325. RNAcentral's name for it is "tRNA-Glu". The record is from RNAcentral. Lineage: Bacteria; Bacillati; Chloroflexota.